GAGGAGCUUGCUCCUCUGACGUUAGCGGCGGACGGGUGAGUAACACGUGGAUAACCUACCUAUAAGACUGGGAUAACUUCGGGAAACCGGAGCUAAUACCGGAUAAUAUAUUGAACCGCAUGGUUCAAUAGUGAAAGACGGUUUUGCUGUCACUUAUAGAUGGAUCCGCGCCGCAUUAGCUAGUUGGUAAGGUAACGGUUUACCAAGGCAACGAUGCGUAGCCGACCUGAGAGGGUGAUCGGCCACACUGGAACUGAGACACGGUCCAGACUCCUACGGGAGGCAGCAGUAGGGAAUCUUCCGCAAUGGGCGAAAGCUUGACGGAGCAACGCCGCGUGAGUGAUGAAGGUCUUCGGAUCGUAAAACUCUGUUAUUAGGGAAGAA
Molecule: ribosomal RNA, 384 nt
Filed under: uncultured Staphylococcus sp.
Lineage: Bacteria; Bacillati; Bacillota; Bacilli; Caryophanales; Staphylococcaceae
Description: bacterial SSU rRNA
Rfam family: Bacterial small subunit ribosomal RNA
Source: RNAcentral